UGGGGAAUAUUGCACAAUGGGCGCAAGCCUGAUGCAGCCAUGCCGCGUGUAUGAAGAAGGCCUUCGGGUUGUAAAGUACUUUCAGCGGGGAGGAAGGGAGUAAAGUUAAUACCUUUACUCAUUGACGUUACCCGCAGAAGAAGCACCGGCUAACUCCGUGCCAGCAGCCGCGGUAAUACGGAGGGUGCAAGCAUUAAUCGGAAUUACUGGGCGUAAAGCGCACGCAGGCGGUUUGUUAAGUCAGAUGUGAAAUCCCCGGGCUCAACCUGGGAACUGCAUCUGAUACUGGCAAGCUUGAGUCUCGUAGAGGGGGGUAGAAUUCCAGGUGUAGCGGUGAAAUGCGUAGCGAUCUGGAGGAAUACCGGUGGCGAAGGCGGCCCCCUGGACGAAGACUGACGCUCAGGUGCGAAAGCGUGGGGAGCAAACAGG
This 429-nucleotide ribosomal RNA is filed under the name Chloroflexota bacterium. RNAcentral's name for it is "Chloroflexi bacterium partial 16S ribosomal RNA". It matches the Rfam family "Bacterial small subunit ribosomal RNA", at positions 355 to 776 of the family's 1533-position model. The record is from RNAcentral. Lineage: Bacteria; Bacillati; Chloroflexota.